This 67-nucleotide transfer RNA is filed under the name Proechimys cuvieri (Cuvier's spiny rat). Its description in RNAcentral is "tRNA-Thr". It matches the Rfam family "tRNA". From Rfam's summary of the family: Transfer RNA (tRNA) molecules are approximately 80 nucleotides in length. Their secondary structure includes four short double-helical elements and three loops (D, anti-codon, and T loops). Further hydrogen bonds mediate the characteristic L-shaped molecular structure. tRNAs have two regions of fundamental functional importance: the anti-codon, which is responsible for specific mRNA codon recognition, and the 3' end, to which the tRNAs corresponding amino acid is attached (by aminoacyl-tRNA synthetases). tRNAs cope with the degeneracy of the genetic code in two manners: having more than one tRNA (with a specific anti-codon) for a particular amino acid; and 'wobble' base-pairing, i.e. permitting non-standard base-pairing at the 3rd anti-codon position. The record is from RNAcentral. Lineage: Eukaryota; Metazoa; Chordata; Mammalia; Rodentia; Echimyidae.
GCCUUAGUAGUAUAAAAAUUACAUUGGUCUUGUAAGCCAAAAACGGAGUAAUACUCUCCCUAAGACA